UCUCCGUUGGUGAACCAGCGGAGGGAUCAUUACUGGAAUCGCAAGAUCCCACAACUCUGUGAACCUACCGAAACGUUGCCUCGGCGGGUGCCUGGCUCCGGCGCCGGGCGCUGCGCCCGCCUGCUGCCCCCUAUUUCGUUCUUGCAGCUAGGCUUCUUAGAGUCCCAGAAAACAAGUUAAAACUUUCAACAACGGAUCUCUUGGCUCUA
RNAcentral lists this unclassified non-coding RNA (209 nucleotides) under plant metagenome. RNAcentral describes it as "partial contains small subunit ribosomal RNA, internal transcribed spacer 1, and 5.8S ribosomal RNA". The record is from RNAcentral.